This 6983-nucleotide long non-coding RNA is filed under the name Sus scrofa (pig). RNAcentral describes it as "lncRNA (ENSSSCG00045020618.1)". The record is from RNAcentral. Lineage: Eukaryota; Metazoa; Chordata; Mammalia; Artiodactyla; Suidae.
GGGGAGACUCGCCGCGCCUAGGAAUGACCCGUACGUAGGCUGCUGGGGUGAGAAGGCGUAAGGUCAGCCGGACGGGGGGAGUCUGAUCAGUGACCUCAGCAUGGCCUUUGGGAAGGGACGAGGCCGGCCCACUAUCCCCCUAGCUUAAACAUGCCCAGCCUGGGACCGCACUAUUCACAAUAGCCAAGACAUGGAAAACAAUCUAAAUGUCCAUCAGCAGAUGAAUGGAUUCAGAAGAUGUGGUACCUAUGAACAACAGAAUACCAUUCAUCCAUAAAGGACAACAUAAUGCCAUUUGCAGCAACAUGGUUGGAACUAGAGAUUCUCACAGUAAAUGAAAUACCAACUUGAAAGUUACUCGAUGACCAUACAAUCCAUACAGGACCCGCAUUUCAGAGAUCAGCAAGAGAGGGAUGGAAGAGCAGCAUAGUUAAGAUCCACAGGCUGGAGAACAACAGAGUCUAAUGGAGUGAUCACUCCCACGAGGCCUCAGCAUCUUGUCUUCUAGGAUGCCCCUUCGGAUGACUCUUCCACUGCCUGACUCCGGUCCCUCCAGAAUCUCUGUAGCUCCUUUUUGCCCUUGGGUACUAUGAAAGUCAUGGACUGGCCCAUGGAUCAGUAGAUCAGAUGCAGCUCUACCAAUGCGAUUCAUCAGUACUGAAAACAGAGAAGAACCAGGGAGAAGAGGGAAGGUAAGUUAGUGCAGUACAUUCUUCAAAGGCAGGGCAAAGGACUGUGUUCCUAUAUUGUGGUAAAGAGUAACAGAGGAGAAAAACAGAAAAGAAGAGAAAGUAAAUCAAAGGCAAUUGGAGUUCCCUGAUGGCCUAGCUGUUAAGGAUCUGAAGUUGUCAGUGUGAUGGAGUGAGUCUGAUCCCUGGCCCAGGAAUUUUGCAUGCCGUGGGUGUGGCCAAAAAAACCAAAGCAAACAAAAAAACAUUGUAAGCACACUGAAACAGGUGGAUUUCACUGUAAGUGUAGCUUUUAAAAAAUUAUAUUCUAGUGAAAAUACAGAAUUAUGGUAUGUGCUGACAUUUAAGCAAAACGAUAUUUACGCAGGCCUUGAAAAGGUAGUGAAGACAAUGGUGGCUUAUUAUUAUUUCAGUAAAAGAAGUGCUGUCUGAUUAAAAAUUUUGAAUGCUUAGACUAUUGCAAAAUAAGCCUUAGCAGGCUUUCUGGAAAUGCUUAGCUCUCAGAGUGAAUCUUUGUCCCCUCUGUUAAAUCAUUCUGGAUUACAGCCCUAACAUGUCUGAUCACUAGCUUUAGCUUUAGACGUAACUUGUCUGCUCACUUGCCUUAGGCAUUCUUUUGGAGUUUCAGCAUUUUCAUCAAGUAAAUGAGAGAUUUAGACUAGAUGCUUUAGUAGUAAUAGUCAUUAACUUUAAAAAAUCUUCUGUCCUAUUCUAGGAGCCAUACUAGAACCUUUGAAAUAAGUUUUCUCAUUUAAUUGUUUUCUCAUACAGCCUUAUGAGAUAAUGUGAUAUUGCCUAUCUUAGAAGUGAGGAAGCUAAAAUUCAGAGUGUUUAGGUCUAGGUUUGAACCCUGACUCCAUUUGGUGCUGAAGAUUUUAAGCACUGUGUUGUCCAGCCUGUCUAUGGGUCCUUCAGCUUUAAUGUGCUUAAAUUCAUUUCUGUCAGAUCAAUAAACAGAUCUUGAGUUAGGUGUGAAUCUUUGAAAGCCAGAGGACUAGAUUGGUGUCUUACUUUUCUCUUCCUCUCCAAUGCCAAGCACAUUUUAGACCUGGCUGAAUUCAAGCUAAAGGAAUAAAACAAAUUAAUAAUUUUCUUAAGGGGCGGGAUUAUAUUUUAUUUUUUUCACGCUGCUGACUACACUUCCCUCUUUACAACAUGUAUAGCACGGUAUUUUACAUAUAAUAGACAUACAGUUUUUGACUUACUAUGGGUAAGACAAGGUUAAAAAAGGUUAAAAGUUUAACAGAAAAGGUUAAAAAAAUGAUCAACUUUUCUUGGCAGAAAAAUAGAUGAUAGAUAGAUAGGUAGAUAGAAAGAAAUUCAAAGCUUUCACUUAAACCCAUUUGUUUAACGUGGAGGAACUGAUAAUAACCAAGAGCCUGAGGUUAAGAGUGACUUUUCAGGGCAAAUCAGAGCUACAGCUGCUGACCUACACCACAGCUUAUGGCAGCACUACCGCAGCUCACGGCAACGGAUCCUUGCCCACUGAACAAGGCCCGGGAUCGAACCCACAUCCUCGUGGACACCAGUUGCGUUUGUUUCCACAGUGCCACAGUGGGAAUUCCCAGGUUCUUUAUUACAGGGACACUUGGCCUCCUCUUGGUUGUGCUCUUGGAUAGUGUUUGUUUUCACUGUUGCCUUCAAAAACAUUUCUCUUCCUUUUUUUAAAAGUAAUUUUAUUUGAUUUAGUCAUGUAUCUAUUACUUUUAAAUGGGAAACAAAUAAGGGACAGCGCAUUUACUGAAGCAUUUGCAUAUAUUGGGUCUGCAGAAAUAUUUACUUCUUUUUUUUUUUUUUUUUUUUUUUUUUUUCUUUUUUGUCUGCCCCAUGGCAUAUGGAGUUCCUAGGCCAGGGAGCAGAUCUGAGCUGUAGUUGUGACCUAUACCCACAGCUUCAGCAGUGCUGGAUCCUCAUGCCACUGAGCUGGGCCAGGGAUCGAUCUUAGGUCCUUGCCACCGCAGAGACACCGCCGAUCCCAUUUUGCACCACAUCAGGCAUGCCAGAAAUGUUUACUGAAUUAAAGCCUUCAUCAACAGUAAAACCAUGUAUAUAAGUGUAGAUCCUCUGUUGCAAUAGCAGUGUUAAAAACUAUGUUUUAUAAAAUUUUGGUUUUAACUUACAUAUCCAAUAGCCUUUCUCCUGAAUACUGGGAGAAGCCCAGCUGAGAGUACUUUUACUCUUGCGGAGACCCAAAUAAUUUGUAUUUAUAUUAUUAGUAAAGAAACACACAUAAGGUUAUUAUUUUAUCAAAUACAUAUGAAAAUUAUAUGCCAAAUUUCUAACAAUUGUGAAAUUCCAGUAACUUAGAAAUUCCAGUAUUUAGAAGUCAGUGCUCCUCCUUGACUUCAUCAGAGACAAACUAAGACUUGCCUUGAUAAAGAAACAACUUAAGUUCCAUUUAACCAUAAUAAUGAAAUAAUUCUAUGGGCCCAUUUCUUAUAAGUGCCUUCUUUAUUAUGUGUACUUAGCUUUAGACAGCCACAUUUUAAAGUAUGACCAUGAAACAAAAGCAGACGUGUCACAGAUUGAAUCCUUUCUGCUACCCGAAAAGCUCAGAGUACCAAUUUUAUUCUUAAGUUAAUAUUUAAUAAUGAAUACAUUUGCAUGUUUCUACAAAAAGUUAAAAUUUUUCUAUGGAUGCUUUUAUAUCUCUUAAAAGUAGUACCAGAAUUUCCAUUAUAAUGUCUACUUUGUCAUCUGCGACACGAAGUUAACUUCCAAUAAUGCUUGGCAUCCAAAUAGCCGUGACUGCACCUGUUGCCAGGUGGCCCCCCAGGGAGUGAGGUUAGACUUGGGGAAGACCCAAAUAAUUUCGUAGUGGGAAGGUCCCAGCUCAAGGAAGGGGAAAAUGUUUUUUGGAGCAGUUCAGUGAUUGUUUCUACUAAUGUACUGCAAUCAGGGCUUACUUCCUCAACUCCCUUUCAUUUUUCACUACACUGCAGUUUUGCUCCCUUCCCUAAAUUCUCCCAGAACAGGUCUUACCGGGGUCACAGUGGACCAUUAAAUGUCAAGUUCUGUAAACAGAUUUUGGCAGUGACUCCUGCAUAGUAUUUGGCAUUUUUCAUCAUCUUCUUGAUGGUCUCUUCUUUUUUGCUUCUGUGAUUCCUUUCUUCUACUUCUCUGACUCCCUGUUGGUAUUUACAGACCUGUUUUUCCAUUGACUGUUUGGUGCUGUCUUCCCUCCUGUGAUGGUUAGUUGUAUGUGUAAACUUGGCUAGGCUAUAUACCGUUAUUUGAUCAAACACUAAUCUAGAUGCUACUGUCAGAGUUUUUUUGUACAUUUUGAGUAUUUUUGUAGUUAACAUCUAUAAUCAGUUGACUUUAAGGAGAUAACGUGGUUGGGCCUCAUCUAAUUAGUAAGAAGGCCUUAAGAGCAAAAACGGUUUCCUGGAGAAAAAGAAAUUCUGGCUCAAGACUGCAGCAUCAAUGUCUGCCUGAAUUUCUGAGUUGCCAGCCUGCUGGCCUGCCUGCCCUAAAAAUUGCUAACUUGCCUACUCUUCAGGUGUCAGAAUGCCAGGCCCCAGCAAUCGCAUGAGCCCAUCCUUGAAAUAAAUCUCUUUAAUAUGCACAAACACACACACGCACACACACACACACCUCCUACUGAUUCAGUUUCUCUAGAGGACUCUGACUGAUUAUGGAUCCCUUUGUCAUUUUAUUUCUCAUGUUCUGUAUAAUUCAUCCAUUUUACUUCUUCAACUAGGUCCAUAAUAUAUUUUUGACCCCAGUAUAUUUAUCCCAGUCUCUUAUCUGAACUCAAUUAUUUUUCCGACUGGUAAGCAUCCCUACAUUGUUGCCUUAGUCCCGUCUUAAACCAAGCAUAUUCAGAUGAAAUUUUUUUCUCUCCCUUUCUCCUUUUUUCCUCUCAGUUAAGGCCAUCUCUUGAUUCCUCUUUCUCUCAUCUUAUACAUCAAUCAGUCCCUAAACUUGGACAGUUUUUUCCUCUCUAGAACCUUUUUUAUUUUUGACCAUGCCCAUGGCAUGCAGAAGUUCCCAGGCCAGGGAUCAAACCUGAGCCACUACUGUAACCAGAGCCCACAGCAGUGACGACACCAGAUCCUUAGCCCACUGAGCCACAAGGGAACUUCCCUCCUUAGAAACUCUUGAAUCUACUCCUUUCUUAUUUCUUCCACUUCUUUACGUUAGAACCUCUAAUCAUCUCUUAGAUUGUCUUUUUUCCCCUAAUUAUGAUUUUCUAACCUAAUCUUGUUUACCACUGUCUUUUUCUUCUAUGUCAUUAUCCACGGAUCCACAAAGGUUUUUUUUCUUGUCAUAACGAUUGCAUUAUAUUGUAAUUAUUUUUUUACAUGCUAUGCCCUGCCUUCUAGAUUGGGUGUCAUUCAUUACGUUUGUGUUGAAUGAAUGAAUACGUUGGUCACCGUUUUCUUUACCACAAAGAAUUACUAAUUUUCUGCCUCUAGCAUAAAUUAUAUUUUCCUAGAGAAUCAAAUUAAUAAAUCAAAUUAGACUAUUGAAUCCUGUUAUUUUUUCCCUUCUUACUAGUACAUGUGUAGUGAUUCAGUUCUUUCCAAUACAAGUGUUCUUAACUUGGGAUCCACACAUAGCCUUCUAAGACAUGCAUGAACUCACAAAAAUUUUAUGGGAAUCUGUGUAUUUUUCUGUGGAAUAUGACCAUAGUUUUCAUUAAAUCCUCCAAGGGGCCUGAGUUGCCUAAAUGCUUAAGACUCACUGCACUGAGUGAAACUGUGUGGGCUUGUAUCCCACUUCCACCACUUACUGACUGUGGGACCUUCGACAAGUUAUUUAACCACUCACAGCUUUAUCCUCUUUAAAUUGUGGCACAGGAAUGAUAACGGCUUCAUAAGGUCAUUGUGAAUAUUAGCAAGUUGAUGUAUGUCAAGUGCUUGGCACAUAUAAAUGGCUGUGUGACUCUUACUAUAAAAAAUGCCCAUAAAAAUGAUACAUAUUUUAAAAAUUACAAGACUUUCAAAUCUUGAAAAAUAUAAGAUUUAAAGCUCAAAAGAUAGGGAAGAGUUGAAGAUUUAGGUUUGGAAGUUAUCUACAUAGAAGCAGUAGUUGAAACCACAAAAGUAGGAGCCGUUCUGUGGGAGAAAAAAUGAAAAGAAAGACAGAGUUUGAGGGUACCCAUAGUAGGCAAGCCCGUAGUAAGGUGAAAACCGAGGGAAAAGAGCUCAUGAAGAUGUCAGUGGGAUUUCUUCAGAUCCAGUGAAGGAAUUUUACUGUAAAAGGUACAGGUAAGCUUUCCUUGAAUCAAGGAAAUUGAGGACUAGAGACUGCUGGAUUUUGUAAUUAAGAGAAUGCACUAGUUUCCUAGUAACAAAUUACUGCAAACUGGGUGGCUUAACACAACCGAAACAUAUUCAUGGUUUUGGAGGACAAAAGCCUGAAAUCAAGGUGUCAGCAGGGCCCUGCUGCCUCCAAAGAUUCUAGGGGAAAAUCCUUCCUUGUCUCUUCCAAUUCAGGUGGUUAGUGGCAGUCCUGGGCAUUGUUGGCUUAUCACUGCAUCCCUCCAGUUUCUGCCUCCUUCUUCACAUGGUCCUUUUCCCUUGAGGGUCUGUGUCUCUAUGUCCAAAUUCCCCUCUGAUUAUUAGGAUAUCAGUCAUUGGAUUUAAGCCUGAUUCUAAUCUAGUGUAUUCCAACCAUCACUUGAUUAUAUCUGCAAGGACUCUAUUUCCAAAUAAGGUCGUAUUCACAGGUACUGGGUGGGCCUGAGAUUUGGGGGUGGAAACCAUUCAACCCAGUACAAAGAACUCUAGUUACUCUGGAGAUAAAGUAAAGUAGGAAGCUAUACCGAAGGCCCAAAGAAAUAAGUUAGUAAGUGCUUAAAGUGGAUAUCACCCUCCCCCACCCCAGAAAUUUCUUGCUAAAAGAAAAAUAGAAUUGUAAUUUGAGGCAAAAACAACAUUGACAAAGAGAGACAUGGUGAUAAAUUAGAUAAAGAUAGAGUCAGAAAUAGAGAUAUAGCCACAGAACAGAUGUAGACAUAAAAAUGAAGAAUAGUGUUUAGGCCUAAGUGGGGGUGUCAGAAAGGAAGGUUAUCGAGUACAGUGGUGGGAGGUUAGCUGGAAAGAUGACAGGACAACUGCUUCUCUGAGAUAAGAGAGCAGACUCUAUUUUGCCGUUCCAGUAACAGCUUGAGAAACAAAUGACUGUUAUUAAUCAUACAUUCUUUAAAAUAGUGUGCACUGUUUUACAUUGUUUUGUCUGUUUUCUCAUUGUAUACGUCAGUUUUAUAUUUCUCAAAAAGAUUCUUCAUUUUCCAAAGCAAAUGCUAAAAGAAUCACUCGUAAUUAAAAUUGAAUGUAAUCAACA